UUUGGUGGCGAUAGCGAAGAGGUCACACCCGUUCCCAUGCCGAACACGGAAGUUAAGCUCUUCANACCGCUGGUGUACCAGUUGUUCUGCCAAGGGCAUCGCUGGGUAGCUAUGU
RNAcentral lists this ribosomal RNA (115 nucleotides) under Bacillus subtilis. The record is from RNAcentral. Lineage: Bacteria; Bacillati; Bacillota; Bacilli; Caryophanales; Bacillaceae.